RNAcentral lists this small RNA (27 nucleotides) under Bombyx mori (domestic silkworm). RNAcentral describes it as "ovarian small RNA-4381". Lineage: Eukaryota; Metazoa; Arthropoda; Insecta; Lepidoptera; Bombycidae. The record is from RNAcentral.
ACCAAAGUCAUGGUGGAUGGACAGGUC